GGUUAAGUUAAUAAGGGCGCACGGUGGAUGCCUUGGCACUAGAAGCCGAAGAAGGACGUGACUAACGACGAAAUGCCUUGGGGAGCUGUAAGUAAGCAAUGAUCCAGGGAUGUCCGAAUGGGGGAACCCGGCAGGUAAUGCCUGUCACUCACUACUGUUAAGGUAGUGAAGAGGAAGACGCAGUGAACUGAAACAUCUAAGUAGCUGCAGGAAGAGAAAGCAAAAGCGAUUGCCUUAGUAGCGGCGAGCGAAACGGCAGGAGGGCAAACCGAGGAGUUUACUUCUCGGGGUUGUAGGACUGCAAUGUGGACUUAAAGAGUAUAGAAGAACUACCUGGGAAGGUAGGCCAAAGAGAGUAAUAGCCUCGUAUUUGAAAUAAUCUUUAUACCUAGCAGUAUCCUGAGUACGGCGAGACACGCGAAAUCUCGUCGGAAUCUGGGAGGACCAUCUCCCAACCCUAAAUACUCUCUAGUGACCGAUAGUGAACCAGUACCGUGA
Molecule: ribosomal RNA, 498 nt
Filed under: Streptococcus suis
Lineage: Bacteria; Bacillati; Bacillota; Bacilli; Lactobacillales; Streptococcaceae
Description: partial 23S ribosomal RNA
Rfam family: Bacterial large subunit ribosomal RNA
Source: RNAcentral